AUUGAACGCUGGCGGCAGGCCUAACACAUGCAAGUCGAGCGGAUGAAGGGAGCUUGCUCCUGGAUUCAGCGGCGGACGGGUGAGUAAUGCCUAGGAAUCUGCCUGGUAGUGGGGGAUAACGUCCGGAAACGGGCGCUAAUACCGCAUACGUCCUGAGGGAGAAAGUGGGGGAUCUUCGGACCUCACGCUAUCAGAUGAGCCUAGGUCGGAUUAGCUAGUUGGUGGGGUAAAGGCCUACCAAGGCGACGAUCCGUAACUGGUCUGAGAGGAUGAUCAGUCACACUGGAACUGAGACACGGUCCAGACUCCUACGGGAGGCAGCAGUGGGGAAUAUUGGACAAAGGGCGAAAGCCUGAUCCAGCCAUGCCGCGUGUGUGAAGAAGGACUUCGGAUUGUAAAGCACUUUAAGUUGGGAGGAAGGGCAGUAAGUUAAUACCUUGCUGUUUUGACGUUACCAACAGAAUAAGCACCGGCUAACUUCGUG
This 484-nucleotide ribosomal RNA is filed under the name uncultured bacterium. RNAcentral describes it as "partial 16S ribosomal RNA". It matches the Rfam family "Bacterial small subunit ribosomal RNA", at positions 30 to 507 of the family's 1533-position model. The record is from RNAcentral.